UGCAGCCAAAGCAACACAGUUUAUUAAAGCAAAGAAGUGGAAUAUUCUUGAACUGCCAAAUCAGUCACCUGACCGUAACAAACUGAGCUUUUAACUUGCUGAAGACUAAACUUCUCCACACAAACAGCAACUGAAAGGCCUGGCAGAGCAUUAACAGGAGGAAACUCUUUUAUGCAAUCUUUUUGUUCAACCCACUGAAUUAAAGCUGAAGGUCUGCACUUCAACUGCAUCUGAAUUGUUGCAUUUAAAAUUCAUUGUGGUAAGGUACAGAAGCAAAAUUAGAAAAAGUUGUCUGUGUCCAAAUAUUAAUGGACAUAACUGUACGUUUGGACUGUGAGAGGAAGCCUGGAAACCCACUAAGUCACAGGAACAGGAACAGAAACUUAACGAAGGCUAGAAACAUCUUAUUGAGAAACAACAGUACUCACCACUACGCCACCAGUAACCAGAAUUUCAUCAAAAUGCCAGAGAACCAGUCUACAAAGGCUGUUUCAUUAAAUGAUAGCAACUUGAACUCUCAUUAUUGAAAUCCUAUGAAUCUCUUAAUAACUGUAGAUAACUCUAAUAGCAUAUGGGACACUGUAUUAUAAGCAUCUUUAAAUUUAUGUUUUUAAAAAGAAAAUCACAUAACAUAUAAUAAAAUAUAACCUUUAUUUAACAUCCCUACAGGCAUCGCAUCUCCCAGGAUUUACUGUUUCAUUGAGCAGUACAUGUACCUUAUAUAUACUUACUAUAACAAACAGAAAAAACAUGGUAAAUAUAGCUUUACAUACAUGUCACCAACUGAAAUAACAUACAACGUUUGGCAAACGGGGAUGGGCUGGAUCUUCCAUGCAUGCUGGAGGGAGAGUCAGGGUGUCUGAUUUGAAAUAGACAUGGAGAUGUUGGUAUGGUGUUCUGCCCAUUUCUUCAUUAUGUACACACUGCCGCACAGCCAACUUGCACCUUCUCAAACACUCUGGAAGAAAUAAGAGGGAUUUAUAAGGUUUGCACACACGCAGUCAUAUUUCCACAGAGGAUAUUAAAUUGGCAUAUUGUGCAUUAAUUUAAUGAAUUAUUUUACCGGUAACUGAAUGAUGCGCGCGCGCGCACACACACACACACACACACACACACACACACACACACACACACACACACACACACAAACUCUUACCUUAAAACAUAAGACCUGGACUUCUGCUGGUCCUCUAAAGCCAAAGAAAGGUGGAAAGAUAAUUAAAGGAAGAAGACAUUAAAUGGAAUCAUGAGAUAUUGGUAAUCACUUUAAUCAGAAACAUUCUGACAGAAAGCUUGACGGUUCGUUUAAGGUCUUGCUGUCUUGUAGGUCUGGGUGUGUCCUUAUGUGUGAGAUUGCUUAAGUGCGUAUUUUCCAUCAGGGAUUAUCUGCCUCAGUUUCUGCUCUCUUAGCCCAUUCUCCCCUCUUCUCACAGCACUCGGCCUGUUGACUCAUGGUAAUGUGAAGAGUUUGGCUGUGUGUCAGAUCAUCUGGAGUCAUUUAUAGAAGCUGUCGAGUGCCGCACUGACAUCACCCCUAUCUCUCGCCCAAUGGCCAAUCCUGCCUAAUCCUUCUUUCUCCCCAUGCGGGGCCAUCCCAUGUAAGGCUGAGCUGUAUGGGAUCACAUACUGACACCUUGUAGAGACUUAUAAGCAGGAUCACGUCAUUUAUAGGGCACAGUUUACACUUGGCCUGAAAACGCUUUUUCAGUAAUCUGAUCACAAGAGGACAGCUGUACAUAAAUACAGGUGUGAACCCAUCCAAACACACUGGAGUUGCAUUCGGAGUAGAAAGGUAUGUGACCCCAUUUACGUAACAGCAUGAUGUGAAGACACUUGUGUCCCUGACCACACUCAAGGUCAAGUUUGAAGUGUGUAUGUAUCAUGGCAACUAUUUUAUUCCCUCAAGUCAAACAACUAAGAAGGACACUGAAACUGUUCAAAGUGCAAAAAUAAUGCACAAUGGUUGUUCUCCUAUAUUGCAUAUUACAAAAUGUAAUUGGAGCUGAACAGCAACAUUCAAUCACAAGUGGUUAUUUUUAAAUAUAAUCAGUUAGAGUUUCGUCAGGAUCCCUACACUCUGAGAAGAUUUUGUUUGCUGUGACUGCUUUCUGGAACCUCUCCAUGGAAAGCACAUAGCAGAAAGAGCAACACCAUCACAGCAGGUAUCAAGAGAUUUGACACUGAUGAAGUCAGAUACAGCAUAAAAAGAAAGUGGGUUGCAAAGCUGCUUGCAGGUGAGCAUGAAACUUUAGGCAGGCUAAAGCAACAUAAAUAGAGCGUUCUGUUUGAAAUUUAACAACAGGCUGUGUACAAACAGAGUGAGUUAUCAACGGAUGUGAAUCUGCUGAUGUGUCAGAUCUUAAUAGUUAAAAGGAAAUUUUUAGCACUCCCUGUGAAAUUCUACACCACUGGAGUAAUUAAAACACCAAAACACAAAUGUGGCAGUCUAAGAGUGAGGAUAUAAAUAGCAUAAUAAAAGCAGUGAAAACAUCAGAUUUGGUAUUUCUAUUUAGCCAUCAUUAAUCCUCGCCACAUUACCACAUCUAAAAGCAGGGCUUGCAAUGUACAAAAUGCACAGAGGAUAAAGGCUGAGAGGAGACAUGAGGAGGGAAGAGGAGAGCAAGAGCGGCGUUGCUUUUAAACUGAUGAGUUUGUCACUGCAGCUCAUGGCUGGUCAGUGGCUCUGCAGGUUUUAUCAGUCUGUCCCAUUUCAUCUCCAAUGACAACUGAGCCAGUAAACUGGGUUUGCCAGUGAAAGCUUUAAUAACAAAUACUUUGUCAUAGUGAUGUUGCAUAGCAUACAGGGAGAGGCCAUCAUCAUCAUCGUUUAUUUAUAUAGCACUUUAAAAAGAAUAUAUAUACAAUAUCAGGGGACUUCAAUCAUGCCUCUUUGGACUCCACACUGCCCACCUUCACCCAGUAUGUGACCUGCUCAACCAGAGACAAUAAAACACUGGACUUACUGUAUGCCAAUGCAGAAGAGGCAUACAGUUCAUCACCUCUCCCUCCACUGGGCAAAUCUGACCACAACCUGGUGCACCUUGUCCCUGUGUAUGAGCCCUUAGUGCGCAGGGAGCCACCAGCCACCCGCACAGUGCAGAGAUGGUCAGAGGAGAGCGAGGAGGCUCUUAAGGACUGUUUUGAGUCGACUGUGUGGGAGGUGAUUUGUGACGACCAUGGAGAGGACAUCGACAGCCUUACUACAUGCAUUACUGACUAUAUUAAUUUCUGUGUGGAUAACACUGUACCUACCAGGACUGUACGGUGUUUCUCCAACAACAAACCUUGGAUUACCCCAGAAAUUAAAGCUGUCCUCAAGCAGAAGAGGAGGGCCUUCAAAUCCAAAGACAAAGAGGAGUUGAAAAGGGUGCAGAGAGAGUUGAGGGGACUGAUAAGGAAUGGGAAGGAGAGCUACAGGCAGAAGAUGGAGAACCAGCUUCAACAAAACAACGUUGGUGAAGUCUGGAGAGGCCUCAGAACCAUCUCAGGCCACAAACAGCAGAACUCUCUGCCUGGGAGGGAUGUGAGGUGGGCAAAUGAACUGAAUAAUUUCUUCAACAGAUUUGAUUCAACCAUGAGACAGUCUACAACAUCGGCUGCAGACUCACCCACCCCCACUGCUGCUGUUCCACCUCAGACACUUCACACCUCCUCUAUUCACCCUGCUCACUCCUCCCCACCCCCAACAACAGCAUCCAAUACACACUCAACACAAGGCUCUGUGAUGGAGCACCUCUUCAACCUGAGCCUGAGGUUGGGAAGAGUCCCACAGCUCUGGAAAACCUCCUGUGUUGUACCAGUGCCAAAGACUUCACGCCCCAAGGACCUCAACAGCUACAGGCCGGUGGCUCUGACAUCCCACCUGAUGAAGACCCUGGAGCGGUUGGUCCUGGCUCAGCUUCGGCGCCUAACAAGCUCAUCACU
Astatotilapia calliptera (eastern happy) is the source of this 3924-nucleotide long non-coding RNA. NCBI's taxonomy places the organism in Eukaryota, Metazoa, Chordata, Actinopteri, Cichliformes, Cichlidae. The record is from Ensembl.